GUUGUUGUUAUUGUUGCUAUUUCUACAUCAAGAAAUUUUUUUAAAAAAAGAACUAUAAAAGGAAAGGGCAGAUGGUGGGGCCAUACCUUCGGACUCCCCUGCUGGGUAAGCAGGAAGAGGGGCUGCAGAGCGUCAUACAAGUUGUUUGGAAUUGGGGUUCUUGCUUAACCUCUGAGCCUCCAUGCCUAUACAAACCGAUAAAAGUUUCCCAUGAUCUAGGAUUCCCUUUUUUUCUUCUUUUUUUCUUUUUUACAGCCACACCUGUGGCAUAUGGAAGUUCCUGGGCUAGGGGUUGAGUUGUAGCUGCAGCUGAGGCUUACGCCAGAGCCAUGGCCCCUUGCUGUCCACCCAGCACCUCCCAGGGCCUGCCAGCCCUGCCAAAGCCAAAAGAGGGUCUCUCCCAGUGGCUGGGUCCCUGCCAGUUUGGGAGAGUGAUGACCCUCCCACAAGAGGUGGGGACCAAUGGGAUGUGAGCAGAUCAGUGCCACAGGCUUUCCUCCUGCCUUUUUGGGGUGCUAGGGGUGGAGGUCAGGCAAGGCUUUCUGUUCUCUUGGAAGAAGUUUCUUAGAAGCUUGUACCCGGUCAGGUGACUUGCAGGUGGAGGGUUGAGCUGCUCCCACCUGACGGAGUUGCAGAGGCCUCAUAGUGUGGACCUGGAUCAGCUCUGGUGUGGACACUGUCAGCUCACUUUAGUGCUUCUUUCUGCCCCUGAUCCCUCUCUGCAAGUUAGGUUUGAUCAGGGGAGUUCCUGUCAUGGCGCAGCGGAAACAAAUCCGACCAGGAGCCAUGAGGAUGUGGGUUCAAUCCCUGGCCUCGCUCAGUGGGUUAAGGUUCCGGCGUUGUCAUGAGCUGUGGUGUAGGUCACAGAGGCUGCUCAGAUCUGGUGUUGCUGUGGCUAUAGUGUAGGCUGGCAGCUGUAGCUCCGAUUCAGCCCCUAGCCUGGGAACCUCCAUAUGACAUGGAUGUGGCCCUAAAAAUACAAAAAGACAAAAAAAAAUUAGGUUUGAUCAUCCAACAAUCUCAAGGGGCUGCUGUGAGAUGUAAUGAAAAGACACAACUAAUGUGCUGAGUCUAGCACCUUGUAUUAAUAUGAGAAGGAAAGUGCCACUCUGAGCUUGGGUUGAAAUGGUUUCUCUGGUGUUAACUGAAACUGACGGCUUGCUUUGUGCAGAUGUCCUAGGAGGUGGGUGGCAGGCUUUUGCUUUCCUUCACUCUCUCUGGCCUCCAGCAAGGGGUGUGUGUGUGUGUGUGUGUGUGUGUGUGUGUGGCCUCCAGCAAGGGGUGUGUGUGUGUGUGUGUGUGUGUGUGUGUGUGUGUGUCCACACCCAAAAGCCAAUGCAAGAAGAAUUUUGUCACACCCAGGAUGAGCCACCAAUUUAUGAUGCCUCUGUCCUUAGUCCCAGAUGGCUUUGCAUCUGUAUGAUUUAGGGAUUAAGUAGUAAAUACACCCACUGAGACAGAGACACAGAGAAAAACUACCCCAAAAUGCUAAGAGGCGGGCAUCCCACAGGGGGAAAGAGGGCAAUUACAUUAAUUGGGUCCCAGGUGCUCUGCAAACAUUGCUUCAUUUACUCUUCAUAAGAACCCUAGGAGUUCCUGUGGUUAAAGACCAGUGGGUUAAGGACCUGUCUCUGUGAGGAUGCAAGUUUGUUCCCUGGCCUCACUCACUGGGUUGAGGAUCUGGCAUUGCCACAAGUCACAGUUUUGUUUUGUUUUGUUUUUCCUUUUUGUCUUUUUAGGGCCUUGCCCAUGGCAUAUGGAGGUUCCCAGGUUAGAGGUUGAAUCUGAGCUAUAGCUGCCAGCCUACACCAGAGCCACAGCAACUGGGAAUCUGAGUCGAGGCCGCAUCUGUGACCUACACCACAGCUCACAGAAACGCUGGAUCCUUAACCCACUGAGCAGGGCCAGGAAUUGAACCUGUGUCCUCAUGGAUGCUAGUCAGGUUUGUUAACCACUGAGCCACGACGGGAACUCCUCCACAAGCCACAGUUUUGAUCACAGAUGCAGCUCCGAUCUGGUGUGGCUGUGGUUUAGGCCACAGCUGCAGCUCCGAUUUCACCCCUAGCCUGGGAACUUCCAUGCAGCUGUUAAAAAAGAAAAAAAAAAAAAAAUCCUACAUCAUAGAUAGCUUUUAUCAAUUUAUAGAAAUGGGGGCUCAGAGGUUCAGCAAGAACCUGAAUUUCACAGACUUUGUAACUGGGGGAGUCAGGAUUCACACCCAUGACUGACUCUGCAGCCACCAUCCAGCUCUAUCAGGGUGUUCUUUACCAUCACUCUGCCCCCCGUGUCUGUGGCAGAGGCCACAUGCUGAUUGUGACACUCUGGCUGUGACAUUCUUUCUCACCAAUGCUCUUCCACACAUAGCCGGCCACUCUGGACCUGCAGGGCGAGCAGGCAAACCAAACCUGUUGGCCCUCUUGGCACCAUUCAAACUGCCUUCCCAUUGGUCAUUAUGGGCUUUUUGUGCCAACUCAGGUGUGUCCUGGGGGCCAGCUCCCCCUACAGAAUGCUGAUGCUGGGCUCAGAUAGGCAGUGCCAGGUGUAUGACGGGCUUCCUCGGAAGGUUUAUCAUUUGAUGUGGGGCAUUGUUUUUCACGAGUCAAACAUUUGAAUCAAUCAUUUCGCUUCCCUCUGUUAAAUGUUCGUACCUCUGGGAUAGGUGACAUCCAUACUUCAUUGCAAAUUUACUUUCUGGAUCACUUUUCUAUUUUAUUUUUUACCAUGCCCGUGACAUGCAGAAGCUCCUGGGCCAGGGAUUAAACCCUCACCACAGCAGUGACUGGAGCCACAGCAAAGACAAUGACAGGUCCUUAACCUGCCGUGCCACCAGAGAACUCCCUGGAUCCCCUUUUUUCUUUGUCCAGAAGGAUAGGCUAGAUUUUUCCAGUUGUCUGGGGAUGUUGCCUGAAAUGCAAAGCCUAUAACAAUAGAUGAUCUCCAAUUCCUCCCCCCACAACCCCCCCAUCCACUCUCACCUCCACCAACACAUGUGCAUUUUAGAGAGAUACAAGACCAUCCAAACCGGUCCUGUGACUUCUGGUCUUGGCACAUCACCCACCUCCAGCCCAGAUCUAAGAAAAGUCUAAAGAUGCUCAGAGAGCUGAGGAUUUCUUUAAUGAGAAAGAAUGUGCAAGCUGCCCUGUGUAGCUUCACAAAACUUUCUUGGGCACAAAACAAAUACACUUCCAAUAUUUGUUAGGCCAGGGCUGGAAAGUUUCCUUGGGGUCCAACAUCACCUGACUGAUGCCUUGGGAGGUAGCUAGGCUUGAGGGUCUUGAAAGCGCCCUAGCCAUGGUUCCUACCUGCCUGGAAGGGGAGACCCCAGAAAAAGGUGCCUCUGAGGGUUGAACUUUCAAGCAGGAGCUAAGGAAUGUUUGUGGAGUUAGUUGGAGAGGGCAUCCCCCAUAUCGCCUGGAUCAGAGGAUGGGGCGAUGCUGCAGAUCCCCAGCAAAGGGUCUUCAAGAACCCACGAGAGACCCCCUUGAGGAAUAGGGGAAAAGCCUGCCUGUAGACAGUUGAUAGAUAACAGUCCCCUAAAGAUGUCCAUAUUCCUAAUCUCCAGACUCUGUGACUAUCUUGCCUUAAUGACAAACAAACAAACACCCCCCCCCAACAAAAUAAAACAGAAACCCUUUGCAGAUGUGAUUAAGGAUCUUGAGAUGAGGAGAUGGGCCUAGAUUACCCAGGCAGCCCAAUGUAAAAACAAGAGUCAUUUAAAAAGAGACAAAGAGUUCCCGUCAUGGCGCAGCAG
Molecule: long non-coding RNA, 3751 nt
Filed under: Sus scrofa (pig)
Lineage: Eukaryota; Metazoa; Chordata; Mammalia; Artiodactyla; Suidae
Description: lncRNA (ENSSSCG00000051568.1)
Source: RNAcentral